Hypanus sabinus (Atlantic stingray) is the source of this 348-nucleotide long non-coding RNA. RefSeq lists it as uncharacterized. Lineage: Eukaryota; Metazoa; Chordata; Chondrichthyes; Myliobatiformes; Dasyatidae. The record is from RefSeq and is a predicted model, not a curated record. The transcript has 3 exons.
CAUGAAUAUUACUAUUUAAGGCUGAACGUUGUCCAGGUAAUACUGCCUGCAUAUGCAUAAUCGUCAAUUAUCUCAGAAUUUGUGAAUGAGUUAAACAUUCAGCAAAUAUCACCACUUUCGAUUUUAUUAAGGAGCAAAGCACGAGGAAAUGAGCCUUUUGCAUCUUACUGAAAAACACACUGACCAAUAUGACAUCAGAAAUACAGAUGAAUGGUCGAAUUUGGGAGAGAUGACGGGAAUGAGGGAAGAAUAAAAUAGGGUUCUUUUGAAGACCCUGACCUGGAGUUACACGCUGACUACAGUUCUUUGCGGGAAUGGGACCUGCUCUCGGGGUUUCACGACUGGCCA